Molecule: ribosomal RNA, 462 nt
Filed under: uncultured bacterium
Lineage: Bacteria
Description: bacterial SSU rRNA
Rfam family: Bacterial small subunit ribosomal RNA
Source: RNAcentral
GACGAACGCUGGCGGCGUGCCUAACACAUGCAAGUCGAACGAGAAACCGGUGCUUGCACCGGUGGACAGUGGCGAACGGGUGAGUAACACGUGAGAAACCUGCCCCGGAGACCGGGACAACCAUUGGAAACGAUGGCUAAUACCGGAUGCCCUCAGCUGGCCGCAUGGCCUACUGAGGAAAUGCUCUGGCGCUCUGGGAGGGUCUCGCGGCCUAUCAGCUAGUUGGUGGGUAACGGCCUACCAAGGCAUCGACGGGUAGCUGGUCUGAGAGGACGAUCAGCCACACUGGGACUGAGACACGGCCCAGACUUCUACGGAAGGCAGCAGUGGGGAAUAUUGCGCAAUGGGCGAAAGCCUGACGCAGCAACGCCGCGUGAGGGAUGACAGCUUUCGGGUUGUAAACCUCUUUCAGUGAUGACGAAAAUGACGGUAAUCACAGAAGAAGGUCCGGCCAACUACGUG